RNAcentral lists this ribosomal RNA (467 nucleotides) under uncultured bacterium. RNAcentral's name for it is "partial 16S ribosomal RNA". It matches the Rfam family "Bacterial small subunit ribosomal RNA", at positions 28 to 506 of the family's 1533-position model. The record is from RNAcentral.
GACGAACGCUGGCGGCGUGCUUAACACAUGCAAGUCGAACGGAAAGGCCCUGCUUUUGUGGGGUGCUCGAGUGGCGAACGGGUGAGUAACACGUGAGUAACCUGCCCUUGACUUUGGGAUAACUCCAGGAAACUGGGGCUAAUACCGGAUAGGAGCUCCUGCUGCAUGGUGGGGGUUGGAAAGUUUCGGCGGUUGGGGAUGGACUCGCGGCUUAUCAGCUUGUUGGUGGGGUAGUGGCUUACCAAGGCUUUGACGGGUAGCCGGCCUGAGAGGGUGACCGGCCACAUGGGGACGGAGAUACGGCCCAGACUCCUACGGGAGGCAGCAGUGGGGAAUAUUGCACAGUGGGCGGAAGCCUGAUGCAGCAACGCCGCGUGCGGGAUGACGGCCUUCGGGUGGGAAACCGCUUUCGCCUGUGACGAAGCGUGAGUGACGGUAAUGGGUAAAGAAGCACCGGCUAACUACGU